CAGUCGCCGCGGUAAAACGUAGGUGGCAAGCGUUGUCCGGAAUUAUUGGGCGUAAAGGGCUCGCAGGCGGUUUCUUAAGUCUGAUGUGAAAGCCCCCGGCUUAACCGGGGAGGGUCAUUGGAAACUGGGAAACUUGAGUGCAGAAGAGGAGAGUGGAAUUCCACGUGUAGCGGUGAAAUGCGUAGAGAUGUGGAGGAACACCAGUGGCGAAGGCGACUCUCUGGUCUGUAACUGACGCUGAGGAGCGAAAGCGUGGGGAGCGAACAGGAUUAGAGACCCCCGUAGUCCCUGUCUCUUAUAC
Molecule: ribosomal RNA, 301 nt
Filed under: uncultured bacterium
Lineage: Bacteria
Description: partial 16S ribosomal RNA
Rfam family: Bacterial small subunit ribosomal RNA
Source: RNAcentral